UGGUCUUAGCUUGCUAAGACUGAUGGCGACCGGCGCACGGGUGAGUAACACGUAUCCAACCUGCCGUCUACUCUUGGACAGCCUUCUGAAAGGAAGAUUAAUACAAGAUGGCAUCAUGAGUCCGCAUGUUCACAUGAUUAAAGGUAUUCCGGUAGACGAUGGGGAUGCGUUCCAUUAGUUUGUUGGCGGGGUAACGGCCCACCAAGACAUCGAUGGAUAGGGGGUUCUGAGAGGAAGGUCCCCCACAUUGGAACUGAGACACGGUCCAAACUCC
RNAcentral lists this ribosomal RNA (274 nucleotides) under uncultured Bacteroides sp. RNAcentral describes it as "partial 16S ribosomal RNA". It matches the Rfam family "Bacterial small subunit ribosomal RNA", at positions 70 to 339 of the family's 1533-position model. Lineage: Bacteria; Pseudomonadati; Bacteroidota; Bacteroidia; Bacteroidales; Bacteroidaceae. The record is from RNAcentral.